ACACAUGCAAGUCGAGCGGGGACCAAGGAAGAGCUUGCUCAGAACUGGUUCCAGCGGCGGACGGGUGAGUAACGCGUGAGCAACCUGCCUUCAGCAGGGGGAUAACGCAUCGAAAGAUGUGCUAAUACCGCAUGAGACCACACCUUCACAUGGAGGAGGGGUCAAAGGAGCAAUCCGGCUGAAGAUGGGCUCGCGUCCGAUUAGCUAGUUGGUGAGACAACAGCCCACCAAGGCGACGAUCGGUAGCCGACCUGAGAGGGUGAUCGGCCACAUUGGAACUGAGAUACGGUCCAGACUCCUACGGGAGGCAGCAGUGGGGAAUAUUGGGCAAUGGGCGAAAGCCUGACCCAGCAACGCCGCGUGAGGGAAGAAGGGUUUCGGCUCGUAAACCUCUGUCCUAUGGGACGAAGGAAGUGACGGUACCAUAGGAGGAAGCCCCGGCUAACUACGUGCCAGCAGCCGCGGUAAUACGUAGGGGGCGAGCGUNGCCCGGAAUGAUUGGGCGUAAAGGGCGCGUAGGCGGCCUGAUAAGUCUGGAGUGAAAGUCCUGCUUUCAAGGUGGGAAUUGCUUUGGAUACUGUCGGGCUGGAGUACAGGAGAGGAAAGCGGAAUUUACAGUGUAGCGGUGAAAUGCG
This 635-nucleotide ribosomal RNA is filed under the name uncultured rumen bacterium. RNAcentral's name for it is "bacterial SSU rRNA". It matches the Rfam family "Bacterial small subunit ribosomal RNA", at positions 51 to 690 of the family's 1533-position model. The record is from RNAcentral.